GGUUUUCCUUCUUCUUCGUCGUCCUCCCGUCCCCCAAUCGUUUGCCUCGUUGGUCCAUGGGCAUAGGUUCGGUCUACAAUGGACCUAAUGAACGGGUAGUCGAAUGUGAGAGGAGGGCGGCCACGAAUUGGAAUAAUUACUUAACCAG
This is a non-coding RNA of Caenorhabditis elegans, 148 nucleotides long. The record is from Ensembl. Lineage: Eukaryota; Metazoa; Nematoda; Chromadorea; Rhabditida; Rhabditidae.